This 519-nucleotide ribosomal RNA is filed under the name uncultured eukaryote. RNAcentral describes it as "SSU rRNA". It matches the Rfam family "Eukaryotic small subunit ribosomal RNA", at positions 1161 to 1699 of the family's 1831-position model. The record is from RNAcentral.
AGGGCACCACCAGGAGUGGAGCCUGCGGCUUAAUUUGACUCAACACGGGGAAACUUACCCGGCCUGGACACUGGAAGGAUUGACAGAUUGAGAGCUCUUUCUUGAUUCAGUGGGUGGUGGUGCAUGGCCGUUCUAAGUUGGUGGAGCGAUUUGUCUGGUUAAUUCCGAUAACGAACGAGACUCUAGCCUAUUAAAUAGGCUCUCGGCUUUUAAACGCCGGGAGGACUUCUUAGGGGGACAGGUGGCGGUUCAGCCGCACGAAAGAGAGCAAUAACAGGUCUGUGAUGCCCUUUGUUGUCCGGGGCCGCACGCGCGCUACACUGAAGAGAUCAGCGUGCUUUACGUUCCUGCUCCGACCGGAGUGGGGAACCCAGUGAACCUUCUUCGUGAUUGGGAUAGAAGAUUGUAAUUAUUCUUCUUGAACGAGGAAUUCCCAGUAAAUGCGAGUCAUAAGCUCGCGUUGAUUACGUCCCUGCCCUUUGUACACACCGCCCGUCGCUACUACCGAUUGAACGAUUU